RNAcentral lists this ribosomal RNA (398 nucleotides) under Anaulacomera sp. Pak027. RNAcentral describes it as "partial 12S ribosomal RNA". It matches the Rfam family "Microsporidia small subunit ribosomal RNA", at positions 752 to 1220 of the family's 1311-position model. Lineage: Eukaryota; Metazoa; Arthropoda; Insecta; Orthoptera; Tettigoniidae. The record is from RNAcentral.
UAUUAUUUUAAUUGUAAAAAUGGAGACUUGGGUAGUAUUAGGUAAGCACUUGAAACUCAAAGAAUUUGGCGGUGUUUUAGUCUUUUCAGAGGAAUCUGUCCUGUAAUUGAUAAUACACGUUAAAUGAUACUUGGUUUGGUAUAAUCAGCAUGUAUACCGCCGUCGUAAGAUUAUCUUUUUAGAGCAAAAAUUUUCUUUAAAUUUUAAAAUCAUAUGUCAGGUCAAGGUGCAGUUUAUAACCAAGAAGGAGAUGGGUUACAAUAAAAUAAUUUAUAUGGAUUUUUUAAUGAAAUUUGAGGAUGAAGGUGGAUUUGAAGGUAAUAUUAUUAUAUUAUGUUAAGAUGAUAUAAGCUCUGGAGCAUGCACAUAUCGCCCGUCGCUCUCGUUAUUAAGAUGAG